CUGAGGGGCAGAUAGCGGCCCUGAGGGGCGGGAGGCGGCCGUGAGGGGCGGAAAGCGGCCCUGAGGGGGCCUCGGCCGCCGCUCCGCCCCGCGUGAGAACUGUCCCCGUUUUGCGUCUCCUGAACCGAGGAACGCCUGUGGACAGGCUCUGUGAAUUAACAGUGACUCAAGACGUGCCAGACCUACCCACACGUCUCGAAGAUAAACAUUCAUUAGGUGAAUCCAGCACAUCCAGUAAAGAAGUACUUGAACACUAAUGACAUUCUAAUUUCAGGAAGAUGUCUGAAGUUUCUGAAGUCAUAACUAAAGUUGACAUCAAACCAAAAUCAAUGCAUCGUGCCAAAAUAUGGUCAAAUGAUGUAGAGAACUUAUACAGAUUCCAGCAAGCUGGAUACAGAGAUGAGGUGGAAUAUAAACAAGUAAAACAAGUUGAUAAGGCUCUCCUCACUCAUGGAUCCCUUGAAAAGCCUGUCCAGUGUCCUCUAUCCUGGCUCCGUCAACCAGCCCUGGCUCAGACUUUAAGUCUUUUCCAGAGGCUGGCACACAGCAAAGGUAAUUAAGGAUGGGAUUUAAUAAGAAGGCAGGCCAGACUGCAUGGAUCAGGGCCAGGGCCCAGCCAGGUGAUUGUCCUGCCCAAACACUUGCUGUCAUGUCUGAUCCCUCCAGCCUCCUUCCUUGUCAUCUUCCCGUGCUUGUUCCACCCUGAUCCUUCCCUUCCUGUGUCUUCGGCCAUUUCUGUAAACAUCCUGUAGUAAGUUUGGUUCAGUCUCCCAAGCUCCCUCAAAUGCACCUCUAAUUUCACACUAACCAUGUUUUCUUGAUCUUAUCAGUUGCAAUAUUGAGGCAGAUCCUCUCCAAAUCCAGAGUAUCUCCUUUAAUGGCUCAUCAGUCAGUGCCUGGCAAGCUCUGCCUUCCCUUAUUGUCUCUCUAAUCACCUGCUCAUCAAUGGUUAUGUGUUUAAAUCACUGUUUUCCUCGUUAUUUGUUAUUUCUAAGAUACGGAAUAACCAAACCAUUUACGGGAGCAGAUGCUCUCCAGUUUCACAGGCUCCCGAGGCAGGCGCUGGGCCGCCUCUGAGGGAUGGUGUAGAGGCACCUACGCACCGGAGCCCCGCGGUGCUGCCGCUGCUGCGCGUGGCCUGGCAGGCGGCUCUGGGGAAGGGAUACAGAGAAGGGAAUGCCUAGAAACAGAAGGAGGAGGGGGAAGGGAGGGAAGAAAGGAAAGGGUUCAGGGAAGGAUGAGCAGGUUAAAGAAUCAAGCACGCAGAUGCAUCAGCAUUUUGCCAGCAAUCUCGUACUUACUGAAACCUCCUCCCCUCCUGGCAGCUCUUGCUGGUUGGGGAGGUAGGAUGUGGUCCCAGCUCCUCACUGCAGAUGUUCCUCCUGCCUUGGCAGGAGUACCCAAAUACCUCAUCCAAGGGGGAGCUAUCCUGCUCGGGUGGAUAAAAUGCUGCCAGCUGCUUGGGGGAUGGAGCAAAGAGCAGGGGGACUGGAUCUAUGGCAGGCUCUUCAUGUUUGCCCGGGGUGUCUGGAGGAUGUCUGCUGUGCCGUCCUGGGAGCAUCCUCAUGCCAAGUACAUGAUGUUCCAGCCAGGGCUGGGAUGUGAGCGAGGAGGAGCCAGCAGGUGGGCUGUGAGUGCGAGGAGAUAAGUGCUAGGAUGCUGUGCCUGGAGAGAUGGGCUGGAGCCAGGCACAUGCGACACAGGGAUGUGUUGGGCAGUGUUCUGGAGCAAAGAGCCUGGUGUCCCUGCAGAUCAGCUUCCUUCCGUGGCUCUGGUUUCCUGAAGCUACAGACACUGGAGCUCUUGCCCUAUGGUGGUUACAACCUGACAAUUCCUAUCCUAAACUCCUAUCCUAACCUCCUAAAAUGCCCAUCUUGUUCAGAAGGACCCUAUUUUCCUCCACUGGACCAUUCAAAAAGGAGGAGGUCUGUGUACCAGAGCUGAAAGAUCACUAUUUGGAGGAGAUGCUAAUUAAAAACAUGAACUAUCUCUUUGAUAGCCUGUCACUCACAACUUUGGUUACAGCAAAUGAGAAAGACUACUACACUUGCAACUACAGAGAUUUAUUUUAAACAUCAGUGGAUUAAUAUUUUGUCACACCAGAGCAAUAUUUCAACAGAGAAGAGAGAGGUAGAUAGAUGACAGACAGAUAGAUCUGAAGGAUGAGUUCAGACGAGGUGUUUAGAAGAGAUAUUCAUUGCCAUUGAAUGCAUGUUGCAAACACUAUUGAGAAUGUAAAGCAACAGAAACAGAAGAAAUACAAAACUUAAUUAUAUUAUAGACACUAAGGAGACAUUAAAAUAUCACUGGUAAUCUUAACUUAUGAAUAGCUUCCCUGUUAUUUGCAAUCUUACCGUUUAUGUCCAUCAGAUGGGAAAAACAUCACACCAAAUGUUCAUAAUUCCUGCUUUACUACAUCAGAAAAAGUUAGUAGGAUUCAUCUAUACCAGAUGAAAUAAUUUACCAUCUGUAGCUGAGGAGGAUGUGAAACAUCACCUUCUAAAUACAAAUACUUUAAGUUCAGAAGUCUGGGGUCAUGCACACUUCCAUUCUUAAGACCAGUAGCUCAGUACUCUCAUUUCACUAAUUUUAGAUCUUAACAAGGUUUGGAAAACAAGAGGUGCCAGAGGACUGAUGGAGAGUCAACAUGAACUAGUGCUUAAAAGGGAAUACUAGACUGGAUAAACAGACUCUAAUCAGGGAUAAAUUAAUGAAGUGGUUACACUGGGACUCUGUCAAUUGAGGUUAAUAAAUAUUUUCCACUGUGCUUCACUGAUCGGACACAUCUUGUCUGAUACAGACAAGGUGGAUACAGAGAUGUAAGACAGAUACAGAGCAGGCAGAGGUUUUGUUUCUGGGACAUUAUUUUACUGUCUGAGGACUAACACACUUUCCAAACACUGUCAUCAGUCUCAGCCCAGAGUUACCUGACUGUAAGCAGCACUUGUGCUGUGUGAGACCCUGAGAAGAGAGUUCAUACCUCUCACUUGGGAUGGAGCCCUCUGCCCUCAGAAUCUGUGAGAUCUAUAAACUUUAGUAAGAUAACAGCUCCCUGGUGCAAAUAGGAUUUGCAUGACUUGCUUUUCAAUUCAGAGGCUGUAGCCACUGCAGGUUUUGAAAUGCACAUGCCCAUGGAGAAGAAAAAAACUGCGGUUGGGGCAGUGCCAGCUGGAAACAUUUCAGCACAAGAGGCAGCAGUCUGGAUUUCAGGCAGAUGUUUUAGUCAGCCUCUGGCUAGUCAUUGUUUAAUGGAACAUCGAGUUUUGGGAAGAAAAGCUCCUUCUCCUGGAUGUGUUUGGCUGGCAGGUAGCCUUGAGGUGGCUUGGGAAGAUGGAUGAGGCACGCAGACCCUCGCUGCUGGUGGGAUGACCUCUCAGAGCAUGCUUGCAAAGAAGGUUUUUCAUCUCACCUCUCUGCAGAGAAUCACAAAACCCUGCAUUUCAAGGCUGUAGUAGUGCCAAAGGGGAGCAUAUGCACAUACUAAGGAAGGACAAAUAGGUGCAUAAUUUUCUUUUCUGCUUAUCCCACUGUGGAAAGCUUAAAUGACAAGAUGGAAAUCCUGCAAAAUCAGGAGGUGGUACUGCUGCUCUGUGUCCUUUUGCUAUUCAAAGAAGCUUUUUUAUUCCUGAAUAUCAGUACCAAUGCAGAUUUCCCUGUGAUGUUCCUGCCACCCUUGGUGGGGUGAUGUCUCACUUGCAGAUGCAGCAGAUGAAGAGCUGUUUUGCUGUUUAGCUGGUGUGUAACAACCAGUGUCACACUGAGCUCUAUCCUCUGCUCUUCAAAGGGGUAAUUUGAAGCAGCCCCACAGCUGCUGCCCCACUUAAUGUCUGCCACCAGCUCAGAGGAGCAGUUGGUAAACAGCUUAUACAUCUAUCAGAAGCCCAGGAGGGAAAUUUGCAUUGUAUAUCCAUACACAUGUAUGUAUUAAUGAAAUGUUUAUCUUUUUGAAGAUAUUUUUUCUCAAAAAUAAAAAAUAUUGAGGAAUUUUUUUUUCUCUAAAUCGAAUGCUGACUCUGCUGAGAUUUUGGAGCAUGAAGGACUAGAUGGGAAAGCUUCUGCAAUUCACUAAGAUAAUGUAAAAGAGGGAGAAUCCACAUUCCUCAUAAAACACAAAUGCUGAAAAAUCCACAGGAGAAUGAAGAUUAUAAUGAAUAAUUCAGACAAUACAUCCUUGAAUGAGAAUGUUUCAGCUUCCUCAUUUGCUCAGUCUCUCAUCUGAUCUCCAAGAGCUAAACAUAAAUGUGGAAAAAGUGAAAUAAAAUAGUUUUUCAGAA
Molecule: RNA transcript, 4274 nt
Organism: Taeniopygia guttata (zebra finch)
Lineage: Eukaryota; Metazoa; Chordata; Aves; Passeriformes; Estrildidae
Gene: MEIG1
Gene name: meiosis/spermiogenesis associated 1
Source: RefSeq, a predicted model, not a curated record